AACGAACGCUGGCGGCAUGCCUAACACAUGCAAGUCGAACGAGACCUUCGGGUCUAGUGGCGCACGGGUGCGUAACGCGUGGGAACCUGCCCUUAGGUUCGGAAUAACUCCCCGAAAGGGGUGCUAAUACCGGAUAAUGUCUUCGGACCAAAGAUUUAUCGCCUUUGGAUGGGCCCGCGUUGGAUUAGCUAGUUGGUAGGGUAAAAGCCUACCAAGGCGACGAUCCAUGGCUGGUCUGAGAGGAUGAUCAGCCACACUGGGACUGAGACACGGCCCAGACUCCUACGGGAGGCAGCAGUGGGGAAUAUUGGACAAUGGGCGCAAGCCUGAUCCAGCAAUGCCGCGUGAGUGAUGCAGGCCUUAGGGUUGUAAAGCUCUUUUACCCGGGAUGAUAAUGACAGUACCGGGAGAAUAAGCUCCGGCUAACUCCGUG
RNAcentral lists this ribosomal RNA (433 nucleotides) under uncultured bacterium. RNAcentral describes it as "partial 16S ribosomal RNA". It matches the Rfam family "Bacterial small subunit ribosomal RNA", at positions 29 to 507 of the family's 1533-position model. The record is from RNAcentral.